GGGCCCGCACAAGCGGUGGAGUAUGUGGUUUAAUUCGAUGCAACGCGAAGAACCUUACCAGGGUUUGACAUCCUGCGAAUCUCUUGGAAACGAGAGAGUGCCUUCGGGAGCGCAGUGACAGGUGGUGCAUGGCUGUCGUCAGCUCGUGUCGUGAGAUGUUGGGUUAAGUCCCGCAACGAGCGCAACCCACGUCUUUAGUUGCCAGCAUUUAGUUGGGCACUCUAGAGAGACCGCCGGUGAUAAACCGGAGAAGGUGUGGAUGACGUCAAGUCAUCAUGCCCCUUACAUCUGGGCUACACACGUACUACAAUGCUACGGACAAAGGGCAGCAAGUUCGCGAGGACAAGCAAAUCCCAUAAACGUGGCUCAG
Molecule: ribosomal RNA, 370 nt
Filed under: uncultured bacterium
Lineage: Bacteria
Description: bacterial SSU rRNA
Rfam family: Bacterial small subunit ribosomal RNA
Source: RNAcentral